This 301-nucleotide long non-coding RNA is filed under the name Vigna radiata. Its description in RNAcentral is "long non-coding RNA (VRAD_LNC004970)". Lineage: Eukaryota; Viridiplantae; Streptophyta; Magnoliopsida; Fabales; Fabaceae. The record is from RNAcentral.
CUUCUUCUCCUGUCUGAAAGCCCUUCAAGAAGAGGUUGUUGGUCUUUUCUGCUUUUAGUGUGUAUUGUUUCCUGCAUACACAAGAAACAAACCCUAAAAGCACUUUUACAGAAAAAAAAAGAAAAAAAAAAGAAAACAAAAUAAAAACAAAUAAUUACAAAUAAUUCAAAUUUCAGUCAAUUCACACUACUUGAAAAAGUAAACCUCGAGUCCCCGACAACGGUGCCAAAAACUUGUUGACUCCCUAGCAAGUGUACCAGAUCGUUUCAAGUAAUAUAAUUGGUAAAACCCAAUAUCGUUC